Non-coding RNA from Eptesicus fuscus (big brown bat), 672 nucleotides. NCBI's taxonomy places the organism in Eukaryota, Metazoa, Chordata, Mammalia, Chiroptera, Vespertilionidae. The record is from the annotation of a RefSeq genome assembly.
AUGGCCUGGACUCCUCUGCUCCUCGCGCUCCUCUCUCUCUGCACAGGGUCCCUCUCCCAGCCUGUGCUGACCCAGCCGCCCUCCCUCUCUGCAUCUCCGGGAGCCACAGCCAGACUCACCUGCACCCUGAGCAGUGGCUUCAAUGUUGGCAGCUACAGGAUAUACUGGUACCAGCAGAAGCCAGGGAGCCCUCCCCGGUAUCUCCUGUACUACUACUCAGACUCAGAUAAGGGUCAGGGCUCUGGGGUCCCCAGCCGCUUCUCUGGAUCCAAAGACGCCUCGGCCAAUGCGGGGCUCCUGCUCAUCUCGGGGCUGCAGCCUGAGGACGAGGCUGACUAUUACUGUCACACAUGGGACGACAGCUCUAAGACUCACACAGUGGUCCAGACCCACAGGGAAGGACUCCGCAUGGAGAACCUGUGGUCACGUCUCUACGUGGACGUUAAAGCCUCUGAUGAGAGGAGACCAGCUCCCAGGCUGGGAGGGCCUCGCCGAGUUACCAUGGCUGCUCACCUGGCCUUGGAGACGCCCCUGAGCGAGUUCCUGGAAACUCACCCCCAUCGUGACCUGAACAGCCCCCAUGAGCCCCGCCAGCCGGAUCGACGCCUCAUCACGUGUGAUGUGGGAUCAGAGCUCACUGGGCACGAACUUGGCAGCAUCUUCCUGGACUGA